GAUGAACGCUGGCGGCGUGCCUAACACAUGCAAGUCGAGCGGACAGACGAGGAGUUUGCUCCUUUGACGUUAGCGGCGGGCGGGUGAGUAACACGAGGAUAACCUACUUAUAAGACUGGGAUAAUUACGGGGAAGCGGAGACAAUAACGGAUAAGAUGUUGAACGGGAGGGAUCAACAGAGAAAGACGGUUUUGGUGACACUAAUAGAGGGAUCCGCGCCGCAUUAGCUAGUUGGUAAGGUAACGGCGUACCAAGGCAACGAUGCGUAGCCGACCUGAGAGGGUGAUCAGCCACACUGGAACUGAGACACGGUCCAGACUCCUACGGGAGGCAGCAGUGGGGAAUCUUGCGCAAUGGGCGAAAGCCUGACCCAGCCAUGCCGCGUGUGUGAUGAAGGUCUUCGGAUCGUAAAGCUCUGUUAUUAGGGAAGAACAGCUGUAUGUUUAUCCCUGGCCGUUUUGACGGUACCUAAUGAAUAAGCCCCGGCUAACUUCGUG
This 497-nucleotide ribosomal RNA is filed under the name uncultured bacterium. RNAcentral describes it as "partial 16S ribosomal RNA". It matches the Rfam family "Bacterial small subunit ribosomal RNA", at positions 28 to 507 of the family's 1533-position model. The record is from RNAcentral.